RNAcentral lists this non-coding RNA (141 nucleotides) under Streptomyces sp. Lineage: Bacteria; Bacillati; Actinomycetota; Actinomycetes; Kitasatosporales; Streptomycetaceae. The record is from RNAcentral.
GGCGUUCGCAGGGCGUGGUGGACUGCCCGGGCCAACUACGGCGGCAGCAGAGGAAGCCGGUGCGAAUCCGGCGCGGUCCCGCCACUGUCAGCGGGGGAACUUCCCCGCGAGCCAGGAACUCUCACCGCCGAUCACGUCGAA